This 456-nucleotide ribosomal RNA is filed under the name uncultured bacterium. RNAcentral describes it as "bacterial SSU rRNA". It matches the Rfam family "Bacterial small subunit ribosomal RNA", at positions 340 to 786 of the family's 1533-position model. The record is from RNAcentral.
UACGGGAGGCAGCAGUGGGGAAUAUUGCACAAUGGGCGCAAGCCUGAUGCAGCCAUGCCGCGUGUAUGAAGAAGGCCUUCGGGUUGUAAAGUACUUUCAGUCGUGAGGAAGGUGUUAAGGUUAAUAACCUUAGCAAUUGACGUUAGCGACAGAAGAAGCACCGGCUAACUCCGUGCCAGCAGCCGCGGUAAUACGGAGGGUGCGAGCGUUAAUCGGAAUUACUGGGCGUAAAGGGCACGCAGGCGGUUAAUUAAGUUGGAUGUGAAAUCCCCGGGCUUAACCUGGGAAUGGCAUUCAAGACUGGUUAGCUAGAGUCUUGUAGAGGGGGUAGAAUUCCAUGUGUAGCGGUGAAAUGCGUAGAGAUGUGGAGGAAUACCGGUGGGCGAAGGCGGCCCCUGGGACAAAGACUGACGCUCAUGUGCGAAAGCGUGGGGAGCAAACGAGGGAUUAGAUACC